Molecule: transfer RNA, 73 nt
Filed under: Dipodomys ordii (Ord's kangaroo rat)
Lineage: Eukaryota; Metazoa; Chordata; Mammalia; Rodentia; Heteromyidae
Rfam family: tRNA
About the family: Transfer RNA (tRNA) molecules are approximately 80 nucleotides in length. Their secondary structure includes four short double-helical elements and three loops (D, anti-codon, and T loops). Further hydrogen bonds mediate the characteristic L-shaped molecular structure. tRNAs have two regions of fundamental functional importance: the anti-codon, which is responsible for specific mRNA codon recognition, and the 3' end, to which the tRNAs corresponding amino acid is attached (by aminoacyl-tRNA synthetases). tRNAs cope with the degeneracy of the genetic code in two manners: having more than one tRNA (with a specific anti-codon) for a particular amino acid; and 'wobble' base-pairing, i.e. permitting non-standard base-pairing at the 3rd anti-codon position.
Source: Rfam by way of RNAcentral
GGAGGUAUGGCUCAAGUGGUAGAGCACCUGCCUAGCAAGCACAAGGUUCUGAGUUCAAACUCAUGUACCACCA